GAAAGAGGUCGCGGUCUUUAAGAGUAGUAAUUUAAUUAAACAGAUAUUGUUAAAUUAUGAAAGGAAAUGCCGCCGAAGUUAAGAAGAUGAAUCUGUUAAGUCUUCUUUUCUGGGGAAUUGCAGAAUAUGUAAUUCACUGUCGCAUUAUAAAAUGCGGAGCGCUU
RNAcentral lists this non-coding RNA (164 nucleotides) under chicken gut metagenome. RNAcentral's name for it is "Lysine riboswitch". It matches the Rfam family "Lysine riboswitch aptamer". Rfam says of the family: Riboswitches are metabolite binding domains within certain messenger RNAs that serve as precision sensors for their corresponding targets. Allosteric rearrangement of mRNA structure is mediated by ligand binding, and this results in modulation of gene expression. This family includes riboswitches that sense lysine in a number of genes involved in lysine metabolism, including lysC. The record is from RNAcentral.